CUUGAUUAAUUUGUUUAUUGUGGCAUUAAGAUCCUUUUUCAUUUUUUUGUAUAGCUUGAAUGUUGAUUCGUCCUUUGUAGUUUUCGCGAUAGUAAAAAGUGCAUCUAUUUCAUUUAUCCUUUUUUUAAUAUAAGGAUCCUGAAGUUUUCUUCUCGAUUUAGACGAUCGCCCAUUUUUCAUAUUUGUUUCAGGAAAACAUUCAUGAAAGGCACCAAGAAAAUUUUUAUGGAAUAAUUCAUAUGAUUCUCGUGCCGUGGUGGAAUAUACUGAACCCCAGUUAAAACUGCUUAGUCUUUGGUGGAAUUGACGAGUUCUGGAUUCAUUAAUUUUGCGAACCUUGCGGUAUGUUUUUUUUUCAGGAGUUUUAUUAAUUUUUAGUUCCAUUCUCUGGGCCAGAUGAUCAGACAUAUGGAGAUUAACGAUGUUUGGGUUAUCCGCGAUGGUUCAUCGAACACCACAUGCAGGCCAUGGGAUUCCACGAGUUCGACUAAUUCUUGUUUUUCAUUACUUUCUGUAAUAAAAUUAAUAUUGAAAUCU
This is a long non-coding RNA of Harmonia axyridis, 537 nucleotides long. RefSeq lists it as uncharacterized. The transcript has 2 exons. NCBI's taxonomy places the organism in Eukaryota, Metazoa, Arthropoda, Insecta, Coleoptera, Coccinellidae. The record is from RefSeq and is a predicted model, not a curated record.